This 1276-nucleotide ribosomal RNA is filed under the name Temnothorax tricarinatus. RNAcentral describes it as "eukaryotic LSU rRNA". It matches the Rfam family "Eukaryotic large subunit ribosomal RNA", at positions 54 to 944 of the family's 3401-position model. Lineage: Eukaryota; Metazoa; Arthropoda; Insecta; Hymenoptera; Formicidae. The record is from RNAcentral.
AGGAAAAGAAACUAACUAGGAUUUCCUUAGUAGCGGCGAGCGAACAGGAAAGAGCCCAGCACCGAAUCCCGCGGUUCCGCCGCAGGGAAAUGUGGUGUUUGGGAGGGUCCGCUUAUCCCGAGGUGUCGCGCCGCGUCCAAGUCCAUCUUGAAUGGGGCCACUUACCCGCAGAGGGUGCCAGGCCCGUAGCGACCGGUGCGCGUCUCGGGAGGAUCUCUCCUUAGAGUCGGGUUGCUUGAGAGUGCAGCUCUAAGCGGGUGGUAAACUCCAUCUAAGGCUAAAUACGACCACGAGACCGAUAGCGAACAAGUACCGUGAGGGAAAGUUGAAAAGAACUUUGAAGAGAGAGUUCAAGAGUACGUGAAACCGUUCAGGGGUAAACCUAAGAAACCCAAAAGAUCGAACGGGGAGAUUCAUCGUCAGCGACGCUGGCUUCGCGUCGGUGGGCGAUGUCCCGCGGGGCCUCGCGGCUCGCGCGCGGGCACGCUGCCGUGCGUUCGACGUCCGGCGUUCGUCGUCGUGCACUUCUCCCCUAGUAGAACGUCGCGACCCGCUGGGUGUCGGUCUACGGCCCGGGUGCGGUGGCUGACGCGUCGCCGGUAAAACGGCACGCGUCAAACCCCCGGUCGCCCGGCCGGCUGCCCGGCGGUACACGCAAGGUAUCAGGCCGCACUUUUAACGCGCGCGCGCGCGCGCCCGCGCACCUCGGUGUGCGAGCGCGUGUGUGUCGCGCACGUUGUGCGUCGAGGCCGUCGCAAGCGCGCGCCACGGUACACGGAGGUUUAACGGACCUGGUUGCCGUCACCGGUCCUGGCCCGCUGUUGGUCGUACGGUUAACCUUCGACAGGCCUGCGAACGUCCCCUCCGAUCCUUCGCGGGGUCGGGNCAGGGGACCGAUACCGGUCGGCGACGCUACUGCUUUGGGUACUCUUAGGACCCGUCUUGAAACACGGACCAAGGAGUCUAACAUGUACGCGAGUCAUUGGGACUUGAGCGAGAUACCUAAAGGCGUAAUGAAAGUGAAGGUCGGCGGCCUUGUGGUCGUCGGCCGAGGGAGGAUGGGCCGCGUCGCGAUGCGGCUCCGCACUCCCGGGGCGUCUCGUUCUCAUCGCGAGAAGAGGCGCACCCAGAGCGUACACGUUGGGACCCGAAAGAUGGUGAACUAUGCCUGGUCAGGACGAAGUCAGGGGAAACCCUGAUGGAGGUCCGUAGCGAUUCUGACGUGCAAAUCGAUCGUCGGAACUGGGUAUAGGGGCGAAAGACUAAUCGAACCAUC